AGAUUAAGUUAUUAAGGGCGCACGGUGGAUGCCUUGGCACUAGAAGCCGAUGAAGGACGUUACUAACGACGAUAUGCUUUGGGGAGCUGUAAGUAAGCUUUGAUCCAGAGAUUUCCGAAUGGGGAAACCCAGCAUGAGUUAUGUCAUGUUAUCGAUAUGUGAAUACAUAGCAUAUCAGAAGGCACACCCGGAGAACUGAAACAUCUUAGUACCCGGAGGAAGAGAAAGAAAAUUCGAUUCCCUUAGUAGCGGCGAGCGAAACGGGAAGAGCCCAAACCAACAAGCUUGCUUGUUGGGGUUGUAGGACACUCUGUACGGAGUUACAAAGGACGACAUUAGACGAAUCAUCUGGAAAGAUGAAUCAAAGAAGGUAAUAAUCCUGUAGUCGAAAAUGUUGUCUCUCUUGAGUGGAUCCUGAGUACGACGGAGCACGUGAAAUUCCGUCGGAAUCUGGGAGGACCAUCUCCUAAGGCUAAAUACUCUCUAGUGACCGAUAGUGAACCAGUACCGUGAGGGAAAGGUGAAAAGCACCCCGGAAGGGGAGUGAAAUAGAACCUGAAACCGUGCGCUUACAAGUAGUCAGAGCCCGUUAAUGGGUGAUGGCGUGCCUUUUGUAGAAUGAACCGGCGAGUUACGAUUUGAUGCAAGGUUAAGCAGUAAAUGUGGAGCCGUAGCGA
Molecule: ribosomal RNA, 677 nt
Filed under: Staphylococcus aureus
Lineage: Bacteria; Bacillati; Bacillota; Bacilli; Caryophanales; Staphylococcaceae
Description: bacterial LSU rRNA
Rfam family: Bacterial large subunit ribosomal RNA
Source: RNAcentral